RNAcentral lists this ribosomal RNA (903 nucleotides) under Allodiatrype arengae. RNAcentral describes it as "Diatrypaceae sp. SK-2019a partial large subunit ribosomal RNA". It matches the Rfam family "Eukaryotic large subunit ribosomal RNA", at positions 34 to 961 of the family's 3401-position model. Lineage: Eukaryota; Fungi; Ascomycota; Sordariomycetes; Xylariales; Diatrypaceae. The record is from RNAcentral.
CUAAGCAUAUCAAUAAGCGGAGGAAAAGAAACCAACAGGGAUUGCCCUAGUAACGGCGAGUGAAGCGGCAACAGCUCAAAUUUGAAAUCUGGCCCUCGGGUCCGAGUUGUAAUUUGUAGAGGAUGCUUUUGGUGCAGUGCCUUCCGAGUUCCUUGGAACAGGACGCCUUAGAGGGUGAGAGCCCCGUACGGUUGGACACUAAGCCUCUGUAAAGCUCCUUCGACGAGUCGAGUAGUUUGGGAAUGCUGCUCUAAAUGGGAGGUAAAUUUCUUCUAAAGCUAAAUACCGGCCAGAGACCGAUAGCGCACAAGUAGAGUGAUCGAAAGAUGAAAAGUACUUUGAAAAGAGGGUUAAAUAGCACGUGAAAUUGUUGAAAGGGAAGCGUUUAUGACCAGACCUUUGUCUGGCGGAUCAUCCGGUGUUCUUCACCGGUGCACUUCGCCAGGCUCAGGCCAGCAUCGAUUUCUGUAGGGGGAUAAAAACCAUGGGAACGUAGCUCUCUCCGGGGAGUGUUAUAGCCCUAGGUACAAUACCUUUACGGGGAUCGAGGUUCGCGCUUCUGCAAGGAUGCUGGCGUAAUGGUCAUCAACGACCCGUCUUGAAACACGGACCAAGGAGUCGAACAUUUAUGCGAGUGUUUGGGUGUUAAACCCUCACGCGUAAUGAAAGUGAACGGAGGUGAGAGCCCGUACGGGUGCAUCAUCGACCGAUCCUGAUGUCUUCGGAUGGAUUUGAGUAAGAGCAUAACUGUUCGGACCCGAAAGAUGGUGAACUAUGCGUGGAUAGGGUGAAGCCAGAGGAAACUCUGGUGGAGGCUCGCAGCGGUUCUGACGUGCAAAUCGAUCGUCAAAUCUGCGCAUGGGGGCGAAAGACUUAUCGAACCAUCUAGUAGCUGGUUACCGC